UGGGGAAUCUUGCGCAAUGGGCGAAAGCCUGACGCAGCGACGCCGCGUGAGCGACGAAGGCCUUCGGGUCGUAAAGCUCUGUGGGGAGGGACGAACGAACGUGGGACGAAUAGGCCCGCGGAAUGACGGUACCUCCUUAGCAAGCAUCGGCUAACUCUGUGCCAGCAGCCGCGGUAAGACAGAGGAUGCAAACGUUGCUCGGAAUUACUGGGCGUAAAGCGCGUGUAGGUGGCUUUGUAAGUCCGGUGUGAAAGCCCAGGGCUCAACCCUGGAAGUGCAUCGGAUACUGCAAAGCUGGAGUACUGAAGAGGAGAGCGGAAUUCCCGGUGUAGAGGUGAAAUUCGUAGAUAUCGGGAGGAACACCAGUGGCGAAGGCGGCUCUCUGGGCAGAUACUGACACUGAGACGCGAAAGCGUGGGGAGCAAACAG
RNAcentral lists this ribosomal RNA (429 nucleotides) under uncultured bacterium. RNAcentral describes it as "bacterial SSU rRNA". It matches the Rfam family "Bacterial small subunit ribosomal RNA", at positions 355 to 775 of the family's 1533-position model. The record is from RNAcentral.